Molecule: long non-coding RNA, 1206 nt
Organism: Dromaius novaehollandiae (emu)
Lineage: Eukaryota; Metazoa; Chordata; Aves; Casuariiformes; Dromaiidae
Exons: 2
Source: RefSeq, a predicted model, not a curated record
CUGGCAGGGAAAGGAGGGGACCUGCGGAGUGAGAUACGAGGAGGAGGACAGAAGGACAGGGUGCCUAGCCACCGCACACGAAGCAUUGCAGGGAGAGCAAAGAGGCAAAGAGAAGGGGAGGGGGGGGAAAGGAAGCUGCCAGGCAGAGCACCAGGAUCACACCAGGCCAGAAACAGAUCACCAUGGCCCUGAGGGAUGUCUCUUAUCUCUUAUUCUUAGUGUGAUUAAGAUGGAUGGCUGAAUCAAGCAGUUGGACCCUUGCAAAGCAAUGCCAAGAAAUGCAGCUUAUUUUCAUCUUACUUUCAGAAGAGAAGUCAGCCUGAAGAAAUUUCAGCUUUUGACAAGUACUAACCAAAAGUUGAAAGGAUGUCAAAAUAUUAUCCAGAUGUUUGUACUAAUGUUGAAGACAUUAAUUAAUGCCAGUGCCUAGCUGGAACCUUUAUGUUCUUCAGUGUUGAUGAAGGGGCAGAUGAUGAAGAGACACUUUCAACAAAGAAAUUCUCGCAGGAUGCUGACAGAGUUUGAAGACAAGGACGAUCUGAUUGUGUGGCUCCUCAAUUUUAUGAUUUCAUGCAUUAAUUGAAAGGUAUCUUAUAGGAAAUGUAGUCAUUCUUGAAUGAUGAGUGAACCUUAGGAGUCUUCAGGAGUAUAGUAUUGGGAAAUUAUCUACAUCACAACUUAAAUUCUAGUUCUUGCAAUUUCUUACAAAUUGUGGAAUUAACUACUUAUGUCUGUCCAAAUGUAGCAGUGAAAGUAAUGUUUCUUUGUGCAUGCAGGUAUGGGCAGACUGAAGAAACUUAUUAAAAGUUACCUUAAGCUGAGCUCUAAAUUGCAGUUACUUUCAAUCAUAAAAUAAAAAACAUAUUAAUUGACUAAAACUCAUUAAAAGGUAUCAAAGUUGCUUAGUACCCUUUUAAAUAGUAAAUUUUAUAUUAUUCUAAUUGAAUUAUAUAUGUGUGUGUAGCAGAAAUGUUUGGCUGAGAGGCAAAAAGGCAUGAUACGUUAAACCCCAACGAGUUGGUUGCUUUCCUUAUUAGAAUGAAUGGGGAUGAAAAGCAUGUGGGGGCCAGAAAAAGAGCUGUGAUUAUUGUUUGCAUCGAGGAGGAUCAGCUUGGCCACAAUGGAAAGUGCUUCCUGCAUUUACAAUAUUGCUUUAAUCUUCUGUGCUGUUUUCUUCAUAUUUCCCUAAUACAAUCCUUAAAAUUA